UUACGGUCAUAUCACGUUGAAACACUUGUUCUCGUAUGAUCACCAAAGUUAAGCAACGCCGAGCCUGGUCAGUACGUAUAUGGGUGACCGCUUGGAAAUUGCAGGCGAUGUAAG
This is a non-coding RNA of Acanthosepion pharaonis, 114 nucleotides long. The record is from the annotation of a GenBank genome assembly. Lineage: Eukaryota; Metazoa; Mollusca; Cephalopoda; Sepiida; Sepiidae.